CUCUUUCCAGGAAAAAAAAAUCCUUCCUUUUUCCUUCAUCUUCUGUUCUCCUCUCUCCUGUACAUCUCCAUCGUUUAUUCUCUCCCCCAGUCUUCUCUCUCUCUCUCUCUCUAGAAAAUUCGGACGCCAUCUCGCCGGCUCAGUGGAAAUCGACCGCCAUUUCCAUCGUGUCUUCCAUCAUCCUCCUCUCCCUACCUAGUCUGUUCUAUCUCGCCUCCCUCGAUGGAAAAUUCGAACACCAUCUUGUCGGUCUCCAUGGAAAUCGGAAGCAGAAAGGCAGCAAGGAAGUGUAGUUGGGUCUGUUCUGGCUACGAGGGCUAAUUUAAUUGGUUAAUUGACAUUGUUCAAAAGAGAAGAAAUGCAGCCAAGGAGAAGAAGAUGAAAAAAUCUGGUCUUUUAGGGGAAGUGAAUAAGCAGCAGAGCUUGCAGGAAGAGGGAAGUUCUUCAAUUUUGCAACGUGUUUCUUUUCUUUUUUUUUUUGGGUUAAUGAAAAUCAAAAUCUCUGCAAAAAAAAUAAAAAAAUAAAAAAAAUAUUCUUAGCUAAUUUAUUGGGGUUAGAAAGUAAGAAAAGGUCAAUUUAUAUCGACAUAUUUAGCUCCCUUUGCUUCUACAAGUGGCUUUUAACUCCUUUUGUAUUCUUCAUAUAUGUGCUUCAUUAUCUAAACUUUUUUAGAUAAA
Molecule: non-coding RNA, 678 nt
Organism: Punica granatum (pomegranate)
Lineage: Eukaryota; Viridiplantae; Streptophyta; Magnoliopsida; Myrtales; Lythraceae
Source: RefSeq, a predicted model, not a curated record